CCUACGGGAGGCAGCAGUGAGGAAUAUUGGUCAAUGGGCGCGAGCCUGAACCAGCCAAGUAGCGUGAAGGAUGACUGCCCUACGGUUUGUAAACUUCUUUUAUAAAGGAAUAAAGUUAGGCAUGUGUGCCUUUUUGUAUGUACUUUAUGAAUAAGGAUCGGCCAACUCCGGGCCAGCAGCCGCGGUAAUACGGAGGGUCCGAGCGUUAUCCGGAUUUAUUGGGUUUAAAGGGAGCGUAGAUGGGUUGUUAAGUCAGUUGUGAAAGUUUGCGGCUCAACCGUAAAAUUGCAAUUGAUACUGGCAGCCUUGAGUACAGUUGAGGUAGGCGGAAUUCGUGGUGUAGCGGUGAAAUGCUUAGAGAUCACGAAGAACUCCGAUUGCGAAGGCAGCUUACUAAACUGCCACUGACAUUGAUGCUCGAAAGUGUGGGUAUCAAACAGGAUUAGAUACCCCAGUAGUC
Molecule: ribosomal RNA, 460 nt
Filed under: uncultured bacterium
Lineage: Bacteria
Description: partial 16S ribosomal RNA
Rfam family: Bacterial small subunit ribosomal RNA
Source: RNAcentral